UCACGUUUUAACAAAAAAUGGUUCAGUAAUAAAUUUACAAAGUUUUACCUUGGUGACAAAUUCAGAAGUGGUUGGUGUAGACUCGGAAAACUUAACAACACUAGUACAGAACAUUAUUAGAUUGUUUGGACUCGCUAUACUUCGAUGCGACGAUGUCUACAGUUUUGGAGUAGUUUUGGCUGAGACCAUCACAGAAGAAAAGACAUACAACAUUCCCAACUACAUUUCUGAAUAAUACGAUGCCUUUUAAACUGAGAUGAGUCCCGCAAAGACUACUCCAGGACUGUAAUAACACAUGACACGCAUCGCUGUAAGUACUUGUGUGUAGUUAGUUUGGAUCUAACCCUAAACGUAUUUUUCUGUAUAUAUAUGUUACCUCUAAGAGCAAAGAAGCCCGAUAUUGAUAUAGAGAAUUUAUCACCAGUUUUUUGUUAAUAAUCAAACUUUGAAUCUGCUCAACACAAACGAUAAAUUCAUUUUGAAGAGACCAAGACAUAUUGACAGGCACAGUUAUAUGUCUUGAAACCCACGGAACUAUCUUACUCAAGAUGGACUUGAAAACAAUAGAAGCAAACACGAGAUGUAAUUUUAGAAAGGUUCAAAAUCAAGACACAGUGACAAACCACUUAAGUUACAUAAGAGCAAAAUUAUCGGAGAGAGAAGUUAUACAUUAAUGGAGUUUGGUCAUCACAGCUCGAUCAUCAUUAUUUAUAAUCGGAAAAAAACAGCUCUUCAAUUAAUGAAGCUCAAGGUAUUAGUUGGGCAGAUACCCCAUCAGUUCUUGUCGUUGCCAUACCGAAACUUUAGCAUUCAUUGUCACCCCAUAAGCCAAUUAAUGUGUAACAUUGUUAUCCCAACACCACCACCAAAUACAACCAGAGGUAAGGAAACUGAAGUAACAGCAUCAACAAGAAAAUAAACUCAAGCUAUAACAUUCCAAAUUAUAUAGUGGUUUAACUGAGUAACUGAUAACACUAGAAAACGUUCGAGAAUGAAAAUUUGGAUUAGUUACUGCUUUCGUAGUAAACAAUUUUGAUCCAUCACAAUCAUUUUCCAUCUCCACUUAAAUCCUAAAGUAUAUUUUGUUUUUGUUUUUUUGAACACAUCCUACGGUAUAUAAUCUAUGAAUUUUACUCCUUCCCAUUUAAUUUUUUAUCUAUGCGCUUUAUAUUAUUUUCAUCAAAAAGCAAACACAUACAUGUUGUCAAAAAAAAAAAACAAACACAUACAUAUAAGUAUAACCCAUGUUGAUGAUUAUUUGGGAGUUCCAAAAGAAAAGUAUACAUCGCCAAAUGCCAAU
Molecule: long non-coding RNA, 1300 nt
Organism: Brassica rapa (field mustard)
Lineage: Eukaryota; Viridiplantae; Streptophyta; Magnoliopsida; Brassicales; Brassicaceae
Source: RefSeq, a predicted model, not a curated record